UACGGGGGGGGCAAGCGUUGUUCGGAAUUACUGGGCGUAAAGGGCGCGUAGGCGGUCUGACAAGUCAGGGGUGAAAUCCUGCAGCUUAACUGUAGAAGUGCCUUUGAUACUGUCAGUCUUGAGGGAAAUAGGGGUGUGCGGAACUUCCAGUGGAGCGGUGAAAUGCGUUGAUAUUGGAAGGAACGCCGGAGGCGAAAGCGGCGCACUGGAUUUCUUCUGACGCUGAGGCGCGAAAGCUAGGGGAGCAAACGGG
RNAcentral lists this ribosomal RNA (253 nucleotides) under uncultured prokaryote. RNAcentral describes it as "partial 16S ribosomal RNA". It matches the Rfam family "Bacterial small subunit ribosomal RNA", at positions 524 to 776 of the family's 1533-position model. The record is from RNAcentral.